Apis dorsata (giant honeybee) is the source of this 492-nucleotide long non-coding RNA. RefSeq lists it as uncharacterized. NCBI's taxonomy places the organism in Eukaryota, Metazoa, Arthropoda, Insecta, Hymenoptera, Apidae. The transcript has 4 exons. The record is from RefSeq and is a predicted model, not a curated record.
CAUGCCCUGGUUGCAAGCAGCAUCCUCUCCUUUUCCAUUCACGCAAGAAGAAGGUACAAGGGAUUCGUGGAACGAGUUUACUACCUCUUGAUAGUGGUAGAUUGAUAACAAGAGAGUAUCGUAAAACACUUAUGGCAGUGUGAUAACGAUGUAACCUGAAAUUAUUAUACACCACGGUUGGUAUAUACGUUGGGUAAGGGAAAGCGAUUUGGAUAACAGAAGAAAUAGCAGAUGUCAACGUAUAUUUAGAAAGAUGCCGUAGAUACAGACAAAAUUGAAAAACAGUUCAAUAACCAGACGAUAAAGUAUAUCGUAUGUGUUACGUGUGUAUUAAUAAGCGGCUUGAGUGUGGAGGACAAAUUUAAGAGAGGCAACGCCUCCGAAUAUGUCCCUGACCCGCGUAAAAACCUUCCGAAUGUCUAGCACGGCAAAAAUGUUUUAAUCAUGGCACGAGUCGUAACACGUUCGAGGAGAAGAUUUACGCGAUACGUA